UACGGGGGGGGCAAGCGUUGUUCGGGAUUACUGGGCGUAAAGGGCUCGUAGGUGGCCAACUAAGUCAUACGUGAAAUCCCUCGGCUUAACCGGGGAACUGCGUCUGAUACUGGAUGGCUUGAGGUUGGGAGAGGGAUGCGGAAUUCCAGGUGUAGCGGUGAAAUGCGUAGAUAUCUGGAGGAACACCGGUGGCGAAGGCGGCAUCCUGGACCAAUUCUGACACUGAGGAGCGAAAGCCAGGGGAGCAAACGGG
This 253-nucleotide ribosomal RNA is filed under the name uncultured bacterium. RNAcentral describes it as "partial 16S ribosomal RNA". It matches the Rfam family "Bacterial small subunit ribosomal RNA", at positions 524 to 776 of the family's 1533-position model. The record is from RNAcentral.